CAAGUCGAGGGGUAACGGGUCACUUCGGUGAUGCCGACGACCGGCGCACGGGUGAGUAACGCGUAUGGAACCUACCUACGACAGGCGUAUAGCUUUCGGAAACGGGGAUUAAUCCCCCAUAUUAUUAACAAGUGGCAUCGCUUGUUGAUAAAAGCUUCGGCGGUUGUAGAUGGUCAUGCGUACCAUUAGUUAGUUGGUGAGGUAACGGCUCACCAAGGCAGUGAUGGUUAGGGGUCCUGAGAGGGUAGUCCCCCACACUGGUACUGAGACACGGACCAGACUCCUACGGGAGGCAGCAGUGAGGAAUAUUGGUCAAUGGGCGAGAGCCUGAACCAGCCAUGCCGCGUGCAGGAAGACGGCCCUACGGGUUGUAAACUGCUUUUCUGUAAGAAGAAUCGCCCGCAUUCGUUGGGGGUAUGACGGUAUUACAGGAAUAAGCAUCGGCUAACUCCGUGCCAGCAGCCGCGGUAAUACGGAGGAUGCGAGCGUUAUCCGGAUUCAUUGGGUUUAAAGGGUGCGCAGGCGGUGGAGCAAGUCAGUGGUGAAAGCCCAAGGCUUAACCUUGGGAUUGCCAUUGAAACUGUUUCACUUGAGUGUAGUCGAGGACGGCGGAAUGAGUUGUGUAGCGGUGAAAUGCAUAGAUAUAACUCAGAACACCAAUUGCGGAGGCAGCUGUCCAGGCUACAACUGACGCUGAGGCACGAAAGCGUGGGGAGCGAACAGGAUUAGAUACCCUGGUAGUCCACGCUGUAAACGAUGAUCACUCGUUGUUGGCUACUAAGUGGUCAGUGACUAAGGGAACACCAUUAAGUGAUCCACCUGGGGAAGUACGUCGGCAACGAUGAUACUCAAAGGUAUUGACGGGGGCCCACACAAGCGGAGGAACAUGUGGUUUAAUUCGAUGAUACGCGAGCGAACCUUACCUGGGAUUAAAUGCAGGCAGCAUUCACGUGAAAGCGUGAUUUCCUACGGGACUGCCAAGCAAGCUGCUGCAUGGUCGUCGUCAGCUCGUGCCGUGAGGUGUCGGGUUAAGUCCCAUAACGAGCGCAACCCCUAUCGCUAGUUGCCAGCAUGUAAAGGUGGGGACUCUAGCGAGACUGCCGGUGUAAACCGGAGGAAGGUGGGGAU
This 1128-nucleotide ribosomal RNA is filed under the name uncultured organism. RNAcentral describes it as "bacterial SSU rRNA". It matches the Rfam family "Bacterial small subunit ribosomal RNA", at positions 58 to 1180 of the family's 1533-position model. The record is from RNAcentral.